Molecule: ribosomal RNA, 479 nt
Filed under: uncultured bacterium
Lineage: Bacteria
Description: partial 16S ribosomal RNA
Rfam family: Bacterial small subunit ribosomal RNA
Source: RNAcentral
GAUGAACGCUGGCGGCGUGCCUAACACAUGCAAGUCGAACGGAGUCCAGCCUUUAAGACCUUCGGGUCAAAGAGGGGAAGCCUGAGUGGCGGACGGGUGAGUAACACGUGGGCAACCUGGCUCAUAGAGGGGGAUAACAGAGAGAAAUUUCUGCUAAUACCUCCUAAGCACACCCUGCCGCAUGGCAGAGGGUGAAAAGAGAAUCGCUAUGAGAUGGACCCGCGUCUGAUUAGCCAGUUGGCAGGGUAAGAGCCUACCAAAUCGACGAUCAGUAGCCGAUCUGAGAGGAUGAACGGCCACAUUGGGACUGAGACACGGCCCAAACUCCUACGGGAGACAGCAGUGGGGGAUAUUGCACAAUGGGGGGAACCCUGAUGCAGCGACGCCGCGUGAGUGAAGAAGUAUGUGCGGUAUGUAAAGCUCUAUCAGCAGGGAAGAUAAUGACAGUACCUGAAUAAGAAGCCCCGGCUAACUACGUG